AUUACUGAGUGCGGGCCCUCUGGGUCCAACCUCCCACCCGUGUCUAUCGUACCUUGUUGCUUCGGCGGGCCCGCCGUCAUGGCCGCCGGGGGGCACCCGCCCCCGGGCCCGUGCCCGCCGAAGACACCAUCGAACGCUGUCUGAAGAAUGCAGUCUGAGCGAUUAGCGAAAUUAGUUAAAACUUUCAACAACGGAUCUCUUGGUUCCGGCAUCGAUGAAGAACGCAGCGAAAUGCGAUAAGUAAUGUGAAUUGCAGAAUUCAGUGAAUCAUCGAGUCUUUGAACGCACAUUGCGCCCCCUGGUAUUCCGGGGGGCAUGCCUGUCCGAGCGUCAUUGCUGCCCUCAAGCACGGCUUGUGU
RNAcentral lists this ribosomal RNA (359 nucleotides) under fungal sp. OMLIsolate1. RNAcentral's name for it is "partial 18S ribosomal RNA". The stretch from base 180 to 333 matches the Rfam family "5.8S ribosomal RNA". The record is from RNAcentral. Lineage: Eukaryota; Fungi.